RNAcentral lists this ribosomal RNA (253 nucleotides) under uncultured bacterium. RNAcentral's name for it is "partial 16S ribosomal RNA". It matches the Rfam family "Bacterial small subunit ribosomal RNA", at positions 524 to 776 of the family's 1533-position model. The record is from RNAcentral.
UACAGAGGUCUCAAGCGUUGUUCGGAUUCAUUGGGCGUAAAGUGUGCGCAGGCGGCAAAGCAAGUCGAGUGUGAAAGCCCCGGGCUUAACUUGGGAAUUGCGCUCGAAACUACUUUGCUGGAGUGUGGCAGAGGAAGGUGGAAUUCCACGUGUAGCGGUGAAAUGCGUAGAGAUGUGGAGGAACACCAAUGGCGAAGGCAGCCUUCUGGGCCAACACUGACGCUCAUGCACGAAAGCGUGGGGAGCAAACAGG